CUGAGAUGGAGCCUCCUUGCUGUGCAGAGAAGCUGGACGAGAUGCUGGCAGCCGCCGCAGAGCCAACGCUGAGGCCAGACAUCGCAGACGCAGACUCCAGAGCCGCCACCGUCAAACAGAGACCCACCAGUCGGAGGAUCACACCCGCCGAGAUUAGCUCAUUGUUUGAACGCCAGGGCCUCCCAGGCCCAGAGAAGCUGCCGGGCUCCUUGCGGAAGGGGAUUCCACGGACCAAGUCUGUAGGUAUGGCUGGGCUGUGGGGCUGCAUGGG
RNAcentral lists this long non-coding RNA (271 nucleotides) under Pan troglodytes (chimpanzee). Its description in RNAcentral is "long non-coding RNA NONPTRT009686". Lineage: Eukaryota; Metazoa; Chordata; Mammalia; Primates; Hominidae. The record is from RNAcentral.